RNAcentral lists this ribosomal RNA (158 nucleotides) under basidiomycete from Arundinaria gigantea. RNAcentral's name for it is "5.8S ribosomal RNA". It matches the Rfam family "5.8S ribosomal RNA". From Rfam's summary of the family: 5.8S ribosomal RNA (5.8S rRNA) is a component of the large subunit of the eukaryotic ribosome. It is transcribed by RNA polymerase I as part of the 45S precursor that also contains 18S and 28S rRNA. Lineage: Eukaryota; Fungi; Basidiomycota. RNAcentral also lists the same sequence under 1 other name. The record is from RNAcentral.
UACAACUUUCAACAACGGAUCUCUUGGCUCUCGCAUCGAUGAAGAACGCAGCGAAAUGCGAUAAGUAAUGUGAAUUGCAGAAUUCAGUGAAUCAUCGAAUCUUUGAACGCACCUUGCACUCCUUGGUAUUCCGAGGAGUAUGCCUGUUUGAGUGUCAU